RNAcentral lists this unclassified non-coding RNA (409 nucleotides) under uncultured Chytridiomycetes. RNAcentral's name for it is "sequence contains ITS2". The stretch from base 1 to 154 matches the Rfam family "5.8S ribosomal RNA". Lineage: Eukaryota; Fungi; Chytridiomycota; Chytridiomycetes. The record is from RNAcentral.
AACUUUUAGCAAUGGAUCUCUUGGCUCUCGCAACGAUGAAGAACGCUGCGAAAUGCGAUAAGUAAUGUGAAUUGCAAAAUUCCGUGAAUCAUCAAAUCUUUGAACGCACAUUGCGCUUCCUGGUAUUCCGGGGAGCAUAUCUGUUUGAGAAUCAGUUUAAACAUCAAGUAUUUAUGCUUGGAAUUGAGAAUUUACCGUAACAAGUAAUUCUUUAAAGUAAGAAAAAUAUUGCUUACUGAAAGCACCAACAAAACUAACGCAUGAUUAAUUUGAUUUUGCCAAAGUUGAGUUAGAGCUAGUAAGAAUUUUAUUUUAUUUUUACAAACACUGAGGUUAUUUACCUCAAAGACUUGAUCUCAAAUCAGAUAAGACAACCCGCUGAACUUAAGCAUAUCAAUAAGCGGAGGCU